UACGUAGGGUGCAAGCGUUAUCCGGAAUUAUUGGGCGUAAAGAGCUCGUAGGCGGUUUGUCGCGUCUGCUGUGAAAACUGGAGGCUCAACCUCCAGCCUGCAGUGGGUACGGGCAGACUAGAGUGCGGUAGGGGAGAUUGGAAUUCCUGGUGUAGCGGUGGAAUGCGCAGAUAUCAGGAGGAACACCGGUGGCGAAGACGACGAUCUGGGUAGAUACUGACGCUGAGAUGCGAAAGCGUGGGGAGCAAACAGG
RNAcentral lists this ribosomal RNA (253 nucleotides) under uncultured bacterium. RNAcentral describes it as "partial 16S ribosomal RNA". It matches the Rfam family "Bacterial small subunit ribosomal RNA", at positions 524 to 776 of the family's 1533-position model. The record is from RNAcentral.